Solea solea (common sole) is the source of this 768-nucleotide long non-coding RNA. RefSeq lists it as uncharacterized. The record is from RefSeq and is a predicted model, not a curated record. The transcript has 2 exons. Lineage: Eukaryota; Metazoa; Chordata; Actinopteri; Pleuronectiformes; Soleidae.
CCAGCCCUCCCUCUCUGUUCCUCCAUUUCUUUCAUUUUCCCAAGCUCUGCUCAUCAAAAGACACAACAAAAGCACAUCCAAGGCUGCAAUAAACGAUCCCAAGCCACAGAGGGCACUCAUUGUCCAAUCAUGCCGGAAGUCGCCCACCUGGCCUCCAUGAAGCCACAUUUGCCUGCAGUGACUGCGCAAGCCAGUUUCACUGCUUCACCCUCAACCCUCAGUGUCCUGGCUACUACCACGCUGCUCCCAUGGGAGGAGCUGCACAUGCAAGUGCACACCAUCCUGAUAAUUGUGGUUUUCUGUGUGGUCUGCUUCCUGCUCCUGCUGGCCUUCGUGUAUACGUUCUGCUUCCAUUGCUCCAUCCGCUCGCACCCUAAAGACUCCCAAAGAGCCCGUGGAGGCAACCUAGAUCGUGAGGACGCCACCUAUAAGCGCAGCUCAUCUGACAACCAGUCAGUAGGGAACAUUGUCUGACUGGAACACUGAACCGGGAUGAUGACAGAUGUAUGAUUCACGUUGUUCUUGUUUCAAAGUGGGUGUGUGUUGUUUUGCUGAAAACCUAUAUUAGAUAUACUAGAUAUUGUUUAACUCCCAAUUGAUAUUAAUUUGAUGUACAGUGGACUAUUUGACGGAUGUAUACUUUUGCCGGAUCACAGACUAUCACAAACCUUAAAUACAAGGAAAAGAAAACAUAUUUUUUUAGUUUAGGAUGGACAUAUAAAUGAAUGUAUAUCAGGUGGCCAAGGUACAAUAAAACAUGUCUGUAUA